This 77-nucleotide transfer RNA is filed under the name bacterium. RNAcentral describes it as "tRNA-Arg". It matches the Rfam family "tRNA". Rfam says of the family: Transfer RNA (tRNA) molecules are approximately 80 nucleotides in length. Their secondary structure includes four short double-helical elements and three loops (D, anti-codon, and T loops). Further hydrogen bonds mediate the characteristic L-shaped molecular structure. tRNAs have two regions of fundamental functional importance: the anti-codon, which is responsible for specific mRNA codon recognition, and the 3' end, to which the tRNAs corresponding amino acid is attached (by aminoacyl-tRNA synthetases). tRNAs cope with the degeneracy of the genetic code in two manners: having more than one tRNA (with a specific anti-codon) for a particular amino acid; and 'wobble' base-pairing, i.e. permitting non-standard base-pairing at the 3rd anti-codon position. The record is from RNAcentral.
GCCCCCGUAGCUCAGGUGGAUAGAGCAUCGGUUUCCUAAACCGAGUGUCGGACGUUCGAGUCGUCUCGGGGGCACCA